Spinacia oleracea (spinach) is the source of this 610-nucleotide long non-coding RNA. RefSeq lists it as uncharacterized. Lineage: Eukaryota; Viridiplantae; Streptophyta; Magnoliopsida; Caryophyllales; Amaranthaceae. The record is from RefSeq and is a predicted model, not a curated record. The transcript is spliced from 5 exons.
UGGUGAUAAUAGAAAUUGGACGAGUUAUUGAUUUCUGCUAAAAAAAAUAAUCUUCAGUACGUCAAAUGCGGCUGACUAAGUUACAUAAAGGUCUCCAGGAAGUAAAGGAGUAUGGUGAAAGACUGAAAAGUUCUUAAGAGAAACUCCAGAAUCGCAUAACGCUCCUUCUCUGUGAUUACCGACAACUGCAGGGUGCCCAAUAAUAUGAUUGAAUUUUCACUUGUGAGAUCCUAGAAAUAGCUGAAAGACAUGAAUUAGUAGAUUAGGACAUGAAUACGUUGAGGAGUUCUUUUGCUACUGUGAGUCUGUGUUGGCUACUGAUGGACUUUUUGUACUCCAGGUACAUAUCAAAAUAUGAUGCAGAGGAGAACUCUGAUAUGUCAUUUUCUGCGAGUUUGAUAAAGGUCGUGGAUGUGAUUGGGGAAGUCGAAAUGGUUUGAGCGGUUUGUUUGCACAGAAAACUAAUGCAGUAAUCCAUACUUUUGGAAGAUGAUCCAGGAAAUCAUCCAAGUUCACAACGUAAGUGAUAAUGUAAGUGUUAUAUCUUCUCAAUCUGACUCAUGUAUAUAUGCUUGUUACAUUAAUUAUGAUGUCUAAGUUUCCGACUUCC